Molecule: transfer RNA, 72 nt
Filed under: Loxodonta africana (African savanna elephant)
Lineage: Eukaryota; Metazoa; Chordata; Mammalia; Proboscidea; Elephantidae
Rfam family: tRNA
About the family: Transfer RNA (tRNA) molecules are approximately 80 nucleotides in length. Their secondary structure includes four short double-helical elements and three loops (D, anti-codon, and T loops). Further hydrogen bonds mediate the characteristic L-shaped molecular structure. tRNAs have two regions of fundamental functional importance: the anti-codon, which is responsible for specific mRNA codon recognition, and the 3' end, to which the tRNAs corresponding amino acid is attached (by aminoacyl-tRNA synthetases). tRNAs cope with the degeneracy of the genetic code in two manners: having more than one tRNA (with a specific anti-codon) for a particular amino acid; and 'wobble' base-pairing, i.e. permitting non-standard base-pairing at the 3rd anti-codon position.
Source: Rfam by way of RNAcentral
GCCCUGGUGGCACAGUGGUUAAGUGCUCGGCUGUCAACCAAAAGGUCGGCGGUUUGAACCCACCCAGGGGCU